This 503-nucleotide ribosomal RNA is filed under the name uncultured bacterium. RNAcentral's name for it is "partial 16S ribosomal RNA". It matches the Rfam family "Bacterial small subunit ribosomal RNA", at positions 30 to 523 of the family's 1533-position model. The record is from RNAcentral.
AUUGAACGCUGGCGGCAGGCUUAACACAUGCAAGUCGAGCGGGGGAAGUUGCUUCGGUAAUUGACCUAGCGGCGGACGGGUGUGUAAUACUUAGGAAUCUGCCUAUUAAUGGGGGACAACAUCUCGAAAGGGAUGCUAAUACCGCAUACGCCCUACGGGGGAAAGCAGGGGAUCACUUGUGACCUUGCGUUAAUAGAUGAGGCUAAGUCGGAUUAGCUAGUUGGUGGGGUAAAGGCCUACCAAGGCGACGAUCUGUAGCGGGUCUGAGAGGAUGAUCCGCCACACUGGGACUGAGACACGGCCCAGACUCCUACGGGAGGCAGCAGUGGGGAAUAUUGGACAAUGGGGGGAACCCUGAUCCAGCCAUGCCGCGUGUGUGAAGAAGGCCUUAUGGUUGUAAAGCACUUUAAGCGAGGAGGAGGCUCUUUUGGUUAAUACCCAAGAUGAGUGGACGUUACUCGCAGAAUAAGCACCGGCUAACUCUGUGCCAGCAGCCGCGGUAA